AGUUCUCUGCCCGCCCCUUUGCGGCCCAGAUCCCAGUCGCCGCGGCCUGCGUGGAACUCUGCGCGAGCUGAAUCUCCUGCUGCAGGACGAGCCCCGACCCCGAGCCCGAUCCCCUCCGCGGUCCCAGCCUCUUUGUCCGAUCGCAUUUUCCAUCUCCUCUGCCAGGAAUGCUCUCCCAACCAGAGCAAAUCCAGAUGUCCCCUCGGCGACUGUGGGCACCCUCCCCAGCUGUGGAGCCUUCGCACGCCUUCCUCAGAGUCCGUGGUUGUAAAAUUUGUUUUGCUCUAAAGUAUUUGACUGUCUCCCUCACUAGAUCCUGAGGGUUUUAGUGAGUGCCUCAGUGUGAGCACAUGCAGGCACUGCUAGGCGCCUGUAGUUGAUUCUUAGUUAAUACAAGUGAAUAAUCACAACUAGACCUUAAAUUGCAGGGACUAUGUGACAGGCACUUUUUAAAAUGCUUUAUACGUGUUGAUUUAAGUGUAAUCGUCACAAGAACCCUGCGAGGAAGAUAGGACAGCAAGUGCCCUGUUCCUGUUUGUAAACGUGCCCGACACUCUGCAACAACACCUACAACAGAACCGUGCUAGUUUUGGGGGUUCGCAAUAAAAGUUUCUGUUUGAACGGAUCCUAGAGUGUGCAGGGACACAGCAAUGGAAGACCUGGUCCCUUUGUCUGUACUUAGUCUAUAGCCAGUUCAUUGUGAGAAAUUUCUUUAGAUCGACACCUGCCACUGUUAGUCCGGGUUUCCCAGUCUGUCCUUUCUAACUCCCUUCCUGCCUUACCCCCUAAAAAGCUACCUCCCCUCUUCCCACUCCUGAUAAUGAACACUAU
Molecule: long non-coding RNA, 831 nt
Filed under: Homo sapiens (human)
Lineage: Eukaryota; Metazoa; Chordata; Mammalia; Primates; Hominidae
Description: non-protein coding lnc-FGD2-2:2
Source: RNAcentral